AGUGAACGCUGGCGGUAGGCCUAACACAUGCAAGUCGAACGGCAGCACAGGAGAGCUUGCUCUCUGGGUGGCGAGUGGCGGACGGGUGAGGAAUACAUCGGAAUCUACUUUUUCGUGGGGGAUAACGUAGGGAAACUUACGCUAAUACCGCAUACGACCUACGGGUGAAAGCAGGGGAUCUUCGGACCUUGCGCGAUUGAAUGAGCCGAUGUCGGAUUAGCUAGUUGGCGGGGUAAAGGCCCACCAAGGCGACGAUCCGUAGCUGGUCUGAGAGGAUAAUCAGCCACACUGGGACAGAGACACGGUCCAGACUCCUACGGGAGGCAGCAGUGGGGAAUAUUGGACAAUGGGCGCAAGCCUGAUCCAGCCAUACCGCGUGGGUGAAGAAGGCCUUCGGGUUGUAAAGCCUUUUUGUUGGGAAAGAAAUCCAGCUGGUUAAUACCCGGUUGGGAUGACGGUACCCAAAGAAUAAGCACCGGCUAACUUCGUGCCAGCCGCCGCAGUAA
This 506-nucleotide ribosomal RNA is filed under the name uncultured bacterium. Its description in RNAcentral is "partial 16S ribosomal RNA". It matches the Rfam family "Bacterial small subunit ribosomal RNA", at positions 29 to 523 of the family's 1533-position model. The record is from RNAcentral.